RNAcentral lists this small RNA (114 nucleotides) under Jeotgalibacillus soli. Its description in RNAcentral is "'Jeotgalibacillus soli' Cunha et al. 2011 BsrF". It matches the Rfam family "BsrF". Lineage: Bacteria; Bacillati; Bacillota; Bacilli; Caryophanales; Caryophanaceae. The record is from Rfam by way of RNAcentral.
GCGAUGAGCUUGUUUGCAUAAGUCGUCCAGCAUUCCUGAAAAGGAACAUGUUGUGGAGCAUGGCUGUUGACGCCGCAAAUUUCGAGAAAACGCCCUUUCUUUUGAUAGGGCGUU